This 289-nucleotide long non-coding RNA is filed under the name Canis lupus dingo (dingo). RNAcentral describes it as "lncRNA (ENSCAFG00020020860.1)". The record is from RNAcentral. Lineage: Eukaryota; Metazoa; Chordata; Mammalia; Carnivora; Canidae.
AUGGUCGUCUCAGAAAGCAGCGAAACUGUUUCAUCCUUGGAUUCAUUCCUCAUAACAAAAUUCAUGGAAAACAUCAGUGAGGAAGAACAAAUCAGUAUCAUCAAGGUGGCCUCAGAACUAGUGACAGCGAUUGGGCGGUGGAGAAUAUUGAGGAUGAAAUUCCUGAAGAGGAAGAAACCUCAGGUCCGGAAGCACAAUGAGGCGGGAAUCAACAGGAGGGGGUCCCUGGUGCAGUUGGAGUAUACCUGCUACUUUGUAGACUGAGUGGGCGGGAUGAAAUAAAGACGAC